UGCCAGCCGCCGCGGUAAUACGAAGGUCCCAAGCGUUAUUCGGAAUCACUGGGCGUAAAGGGAGCGUAGGCGGCGUGGAAAGUCAGAUGUGAAAUCUCAGGGCUCAACUCUGAAACUGCAUCCGAUACUCCCAUGCUAGAGGACUGGAGAGGUGUUUGGAAUUAUCGGUGUAGCAGUGAAAUGCGUAGAUAUCGAUAGGAAGACCAAUGGCGAAGGCAGAACACUGGACAGUACCUGACGCUGAGGCUCGAAGGCUAGGGGAGCAAAAGGGAUUAGAUA
Molecule: ribosomal RNA, 279 nt
Filed under: uncultured bacterium
Lineage: Bacteria
Description: partial 16S ribosomal RNA
Rfam family: Bacterial small subunit ribosomal RNA
Source: RNAcentral